UGGGGAAUAUUGGGCAAUGGGCGAAAGCCUGACCCAGCAACGCCGCGUGAGGGAAGAAGGUCUUCGGAUUGUAAACCUCUGUCCUUGGGGACGAAAAAAAUGACGGUACCCAAGGAGGAAGCCCAGGCUAACUACGUGCCAGCAGCCGCGGUAAUACGUAGGGGGCGAGCGUUGUCCGGAAUUACUGGGCGUAAAGGGUGCGUAGGCGGUUUUUUAAGUCAGAUGUGAAAUCCCCGGGCUUAACUCGGGUGGUGCAUUUGAAACUGGGAGGCUAGAGUGCAGGAGAGGGAAGCGGAAUUCCUAGUGUAGCGGUGAAAUGCGUAGAUAUGAGGAGGAACACCAGUGGCGAAGGCGGCUUUCUGGACUGUAACUGACGCUGAGGCACGAAAGCGUGGGGAGCAAACA
Molecule: ribosomal RNA, 405 nt
Filed under: uncultured prokaryote
Description: bacterial SSU rRNA
Rfam family: Bacterial small subunit ribosomal RNA
Source: RNAcentral